UCGAACGAGCUUCCGUUGAAUGACGUGCUUGCACUGAUUUCAACAAUGAAGCGAGUGGCGAACUGGUGAGUAACACGUGGGGAAUCUGCCCAGAAGCAGGGGAUAACACUUGGAAACAGGUGCUAAUACCGUAUAACAACAAAAUCCGCAUGGAUUUUGUUUGAAAGGUGGCUUCGGCUAUCACUUCUGGAUGAUCCCGCGGCGUAUUAGUUAGUUGGUGAGGUAAAGGCCCACCAAGACGAUGAUACGUAGCCGACCUGAGAGGGUAAUCGGCCACAUUGGGACUGAGACACGGCCCAAACUCCUACGGGAGGCAGCAGUAGGGAAUCUUCCACAAUGGACGAAAGUCUGAUGGAGCAAUGCCGCGUGAGUGAAGAAGGGUUUCGGCUCGUAAAACUCUGUUGUUAAAGAAGAACACCUUUGAGAGUAACUGUUCAAGGGUUGACGGUAUUUAACCAGAAAGCCACGGCUAACUAC
RNAcentral lists this ribosomal RNA (477 nucleotides) under Levilactobacillus brevis. RNAcentral's name for it is "bacterial SSU rRNA". It matches the Rfam family "Bacterial small subunit ribosomal RNA", at positions 62 to 504 of the family's 1533-position model. The record is from RNAcentral. Lineage: Bacteria; Bacillati; Bacillota; Bacilli; Lactobacillales; Lactobacillaceae.